AUUGAACGCUAGCGGUAUGCUUAACACAUGCAAGUCGAACGGCAGCGAUGGGAAGCUUGCUUCCCAGGCGGCGAGUGGCGGACGGGUGAGUAACGCGUAGGAAUCUACCUAGUAGCGGGGGACAACUCGGAGAAAUCCGGGCUAAUACCGCAUAUACUCUACGGAGGAAAGAGGGCCUCUUCUUGAAAGCUCUCACUAUUAGAUGAGCCUGCGUCAGAUUAGCUUGUUGGUGGGGUAAAGGCCUACCAAGGCGACGAUCCGUAGCUGGUUUGAGAGGAUGAUCAGCCACACUGGGACUGAGAUACGGCCCAG
Molecule: ribosomal RNA, 312 nt
Filed under: uncultured bacterium
Lineage: Bacteria
Description: bacterial SSU rRNA
Rfam family: Bacterial small subunit ribosomal RNA
Source: RNAcentral